GGGUCGUUAGCUCAAUUUGGUAGAGCAUCCGGCUCUUAACCGGAGGGUUGUAGGUUCGAGUCCUACACGACCCACCA
Molecule: transfer RNA, 77 nt
Filed under: Pseudomonadota bacterium
Lineage: Bacteria; Pseudomonadati; Pseudomonadota
Also listed under: 1 other name
Description: tRNA-Lys
Rfam family: tRNA
About the family: Transfer RNA (tRNA) molecules are approximately 80 nucleotides in length. Their secondary structure includes four short double-helical elements and three loops (D, anti-codon, and T loops).
Source: RNAcentral